GCUCCUAUGGCGCAAUUGGUUAGCGCGUUCGGCUGUUAACUGAAAGGUUGGUGGUUCGAGCCCACCUAGGAGCG
Molecule: transfer RNA, 74 nt
Filed under: Amphiamblys sp. WSBS2006
Lineage: Eukaryota; Fungi; Microsporidia; Amphiacanthidae
Rfam family: tRNA
About the family: Transfer RNA (tRNA) molecules are approximately 80 nucleotides in length. Their secondary structure includes four short double-helical elements and three loops (D, anti-codon, and T loops).
Source: Rfam by way of RNAcentral